RNAcentral lists this ribosomal RNA (157 nucleotides) under Aspergillus bridgeri. RNAcentral describes it as "5.8 S ribosomal RNA". It matches the Rfam family "5.8S ribosomal RNA". Rfam says of the family: 5.8S ribosomal RNA (5.8S rRNA) is a component of the large subunit of the eukaryotic ribosome. Lineage: Eukaryota; Fungi; Ascomycota; Eurotiomycetes; Eurotiales; Aspergillaceae. The record is from RNAcentral.
AAACUUUCAACAAUGGAUCUCUUGGUUCCGGCAUCGAUGAAGAACGCAGCGAAAUGCGAUAAUUAAUGUGAAUUGCANAAUUCAGUGAAUCAUCGAGUCUUUGAACGCACAUUGCACCCCCUGGUAUUCCGGGGGGUAUGCCUGUCCGAGCGUCAUU